GUUAUAAAUUGCUUGGGUUUUUUUGUUAAUUCAAGUUACAUUUCAUCUUCUGUUUUUUGGUCUGUAUUUUGCAUUUUUUUCACACAGUCAGCCCUCCUGGGUGAGGUGAUCAAGGCAUGUUCCACUGGUAGGAGGCCCUAGGGCACACCCAGGACACUGGCCUGGCCUGGCCUAACAAAAAUGAUCAAAAUGAUAGUAGUUUGUACUCAGUAGUUUGUCUGGCUUCCACAUGCUUGAAUGGAUACUUGACAACAUUGGGGCAUAUUCCUAAUGUGACGAUCGAACAUGUCCCGGUGGGUCUCCUUGGAGAUUUAGACCAGAGGAUUGCUGAGCUCUUGGACAUUUUGAGGUGCAACCUGGCAGCAUCAUAUGGACCAAAAUGAAAUGUCCCAGAGGUAUUCUGUGGGAUUAAGAUCAAGCAAAAGCAGAUACCAGUUCUGCUGAUGGGUUAAGGACUUUCUAAAUCCCUGCCGAACUCUCCUGGAAUAACUGUCUAUCGCCUGGAAUCUCCUCCACAUUCUUGAGACUGUCCAGGGAAACACAGCAAACCUUCUGGCAUUGGCAUGCAUUAAUGUGCCACCCAGGAGGAGUUGAACAACCUGUGCAACCUCUGUAGGGCCCUUGUAUCGCCAUCAUGUUACCAGUAGUGACCCUAGCCAAAUGCAAAACUGGUUUAAAAAAACAAAAACAACAACAAAAAAAGUCAGAAAACAUCAAGAAGGAAGAAUAUCAGCAGCUUCUGUUGGGUCUCAAAUUUUGAAGCCAAUAUAAUAACCUAAGCUGGACAGGGCAUAUCUGAUCCUCUUUUUAUAGGAGUCCCCAACCCCUCCUCCAGCUGCUGGGUAACUUUCCAUUCCUUGCUUUUUACUUGGACUGUAUUCAUUUUAAACUAAUAAGUAUUUUCUCAACUCUACAAGUGUCACUAUUAUCCUAAUUAUUGAUGUAAUAUGUUUGUCAAUACUUUUCCCCAAUCAGUUGUCAAUCCUACCUAUACUUUAUUCCUUUUUUAAUCUCCAACACUUGUGUUACAUAAAUUUCUGGCACUAUUCCAUAACUUGCCAAGCACUAUUCCCAGCAUCCAUCAUUUUUAUUUGGGUCCAAAAGUCUGCAAA
Molecule: long non-coding RNA, 1112 nt
Organism: Oreochromis aureus
Lineage: Eukaryota; Metazoa; Chordata; Actinopteri; Cichliformes; Cichlidae
Source: Ensembl